This 279-nucleotide unclassified non-coding RNA is filed under the name plant metagenome. RNAcentral describes it as "partial contains small subunit ribosomal RNA, internal transcribed spacer 1, and 5.8S ribosomal RNA". The record is from RNAcentral.
UCUCCGUUGGUGAACCUGCGGAGGGAUCAUUACCGAGCUCACACCUUACCAGGUAGUGCUACCACACUAUGUUAUUCUUCCUUUGUUGAUUUCGCUGGCCGCCUAUUACUAGGCUCCCGCCUUCGGCUGCUAAACGCCUGCUCUAUAACCACCAUCUGUGAAUAUUUUUGUCGUCUUCAUAAUAUAUAAUAAUUAAACCUUUCAACAUCGGAUCUCUUAGUUCUGGAACAGAUGAAGAAAGCAGCAGUUCGGACGACAACACGACUGAACUCCCGUCAC